Molecule: ribosomal RNA, 403 nt
Filed under: Verrucomicrobiota bacterium
Lineage: Bacteria; Pseudomonadati; Verrucomicrobiota
Description: Verrucomicrobia bacterium partial 16S ribosomal RNA
Rfam family: Bacterial small subunit ribosomal RNA
Source: RNAcentral
UGGGGAAUAUUGCACAAUGGGCGCAAGCCUGAUGCAGCAACGCCGCGUGAACGAUGAAGGUCUUCGGAUCGUAAAGUACUGUUGCAGGGGAAGAUAAUGACGGUACCCUGUGAGGAAGCCCCGGCUAACUACGUGCCAGCAGCCGCGGUAAUACGUAGGGGGCUAGCGUUAUCCGGAUUUACUGGGCGUAAAGGGUGCGUAGGUGGUCCUUCAAGUCGGUGGUUAAAGGCUACGGCUCAACCGUAGUAAGCCGCCGAAACUGGAGGACUUGAGUGCAGGAGAGGAAAGUGGAAUUCCCAGUGUAGCGGUGAAAUGCGUAGAUAUUGGGAGGAACACCAGUAGCGAAGGCGGCUUUCUGGACUGCAACUGACACUGAGGCACGAAAGCGUGGGUAGCAAACAGG